AACGCACAUUGCGCCCUCUGGUAUUCCGGGGGGCACGCCCGUCCGAGCGUCAUCUCUACCAUCCAGCCCGGCUGGGUCUUGGGCGGCGGGCGACUUCCUCAAGUCGCCCGUGCCCCAAAUCGCUCGGCCGCCCGGCCGCGUCGGGGCGUCAGGACGGAUCAACCGUUCGCCCGCGACGCGCUGCCCGCGGCGGCCGCUGUCGGAAGCCAUUUUAUCAAGGUGGACCUCGGAUCGGGCGGGGAUACCCGCUGAACUUAA
Molecule: unclassified non-coding RNA, 258 nt
Filed under: uncultured fungus
Lineage: Eukaryota; Fungi
Description: partial contains 5.8S ribosomal RNA, internal transcribed spacer 2, and large subunit ribosomal RNA
Source: RNAcentral